Molecule: ribosomal RNA, 514 nt
Filed under: uncultured bacterium
Lineage: Bacteria
Description: partial 16S ribosomal RNA
Rfam family: Bacterial small subunit ribosomal RNA
Source: RNAcentral
GAUGAACGCUGGCGGCGUGCCGAAUACAUGCAAGUCGAGCGAACAGAUGAGAAGCUUGCUUCUCUGAUGUUAGCGGCGGACGGGUGAGUAACACGUGGGUAACCUACCUAUAAGACUGGGAUAACUCCGGGAAACCGGGGCUAAUACCGGAUAAUAUUUUGAACCGCAUGGUUCAAUAGUGAAAGACGGUUUCGGCUGUCACUUAUAGAUGGACCCGCGCCGUAUUAGCUAGUUGGUAAGGUAACGGCUUACCAAGGCGACGAUACGUAGCCGACCUGAGAGGGUGAUCGGCCACACUGGAACUGAGACACGAUCCAGACUCCUACGGGAGGCAGCAGUAGGGAAUCUUCCGCAAUGGGCGAAAGCCUGACGGAGCAACGCCGCGUGAGUGAUGAAGGUCUUCGGAUCGUAAAACUCUGUUGUUAGGGAAGAACAAAUUUGUUAGUAACUGAACAAAUCUUGACGGUACCUAACCAGAAAGCCACGGCUAACUACGUGCCAGCCGCCGCCGUAA